GGGGAAUAUUGGACAAUGGGGGCAACCCUGAUCCAGCAAUGCCGCGUGUGUGAAGAAGGCCUUCGGAUUGUAAAGCACUUUUAGCAGGAAAGAAUGGUCGCGUGCUAAUACCGCGCGAUUGUGACGUUACUUGCAGAAAAAGCACCGGCUAACUCCGUGCCAGCAGCCGCGGUAAUACGGAGGGUGCAAGCGUUAAUCGGAAUUACUGGGCGUAAAGCGCGCGUAGGCGGCUUGCUAAGUCGGAUGUGAAAUCCCCGGGCUCAACUUGGGAACUGCAUUCGAUACUGGCUCGCUAGAGUGUGGUAGAGGGAAGUGGAAUUCCAGGUGUAGCGGUGAAAUGCGUAGAUAUCUGGGGGAACAUCAGUGGCGAAGGCGGCUUCCUGGACCAACACUGACGCUGAGGCGCGAAAGCGUGGGGAGCAAAC
This 425-nucleotide ribosomal RNA is filed under the name uncultured bacterium. RNAcentral describes it as "bacterial SSU rRNA". It matches the Rfam family "Bacterial small subunit ribosomal RNA", at positions 356 to 773 of the family's 1533-position model. The record is from RNAcentral.